AGUAAAUUGCAUAUUUCUCGUAAACAAUGAAAUAUUUAUUGAUAUCGACGUUAAAAUUUUAACACAAAUUUACAGCGAUACGACGAAAAUUUGAAGAAACAUGAAUGUGACCCUAGUACACGGAUGCCUCAUCUACACUAUCAUUUUCUAUGUUUAGUGGACUAUGAAAAUGGGAUAAAACUGUAAUUUGGCAUUAGAAUUAAAAAGAUCAUUCCAUAGGGAAAAUGUGUACUAAGUUUCAAUUUUAUUUAACUUGAAGCUGGACAAACGGACAAACAAACAGACGAACGGACGAACGUACGCACAGACCAGAAAAACAUAAUGCCAAUAAAUGGAGCAUUAAAAAAAUUAAUAAUACAUACGAAUAUUUGGUAAUCGAGCCCAUGUGUAUGGGUCCAGAGGAAGCAGAUUAAAAUCUUAAUUUGUCUUGAUAUAUGCAGGCGGAAACACUUUUGAAAUAGAACAAAAGAAUCGAAGCUCUGUGUUUAUCGAGAAAGCGAUAAAAGUUAACUGUAAUGUUUGAUAUAGUAACAAAAUUUUAAAAAGUUAAUAGAAACAAAUAAAACGACAAUUUUCUUAUUUUAAAAAAACACCAUUUGCAUAAGUUUUCAAUGUAUCUAUUACAUAGUAAUGCAAAACAAUAAGAUAUCAAGUCGACGACAUGGUUCUUAUCGGGGCCUUUUAUAGCUGACUAUGCGGUAUCAUGGGCUUUGCUCAUUGUUGAAGGCCUUACGGUUACCUAUAGUUGUUAAUGUUUGUGUCAUUUUGGUCUUUUCUGGAUAGCUGUCUCAUUGGCAAUAAUACCACAUCUUCUUUUUUAUAUAUAGUAUCUAUAAGUUGGAUGUAGAAAAUGCAUAACCUUCGAUUUUUUUUAUCACGGACGGAGAACAUAUCAAUCUUUUAGUUCAGAAAUUUUCGUGUCUGCCCUUCCAUUAUGUGAAUCAAGAAAAAAUUCCCCAAAACAGGUAACGAUUGUAUCG
Molecule: long non-coding RNA, 980 nt
Filed under: Mytilus galloprovincialis (Mediterranean mussel)
Lineage: Eukaryota; Metazoa; Mollusca; Bivalvia; Mytilida; Mytilidae
Source: RNAcentral